AGCCAAGUCGUGAGGCGGAGCUAAUCCCUUAAAGCCAUUCUCAGUUCGGAUUGUAGGCUGAAACUCGCCUACAUGAAGCUGGAGUUACUAGUAAUCGCAGAUCAGAAUGCUGCGGUGAAUGCGCUCCCGGGUCUUGUACACACCGCCCGUCACACCACGGAAGUUGGGGGCGCCCGAAGCCACUUAGCUAACCCUUUUGGGAAGCGAGUGUCGAAGGUGAAAUCAAUAACUGGGGUGAAGUCGUAACAAGGUACC
This 255-nucleotide ribosomal RNA is filed under the name uncultured bacterium. RNAcentral describes it as "partial 16S ribosomal RNA". It matches the Rfam family "Bacterial small subunit ribosomal RNA", at positions 1248 to 1500 of the family's 1533-position model. The record is from RNAcentral.